This 477-nucleotide ribosomal RNA is filed under the name uncultured bacterium. RNAcentral's name for it is "bacterial SSU rRNA". It matches the Rfam family "Bacterial small subunit ribosomal RNA", at positions 30 to 492 of the family's 1533-position model. The record is from RNAcentral.
AUUGAACGCUGGCGGCAUGCUUUACACAUGCAAGUCGAACGGCAGCACAAACUUCGGUUUGGUGGCGAGUGGCGAACGGGUGAGUAAUGCAUCGGAACGUGUCCUGAAGUGGGGGAUAACGCAUCGAAAGAUGCGCUAAUACCGCAUAAUCUCUGAGGAGAAAAGUGGGGGAUCGAAAGACCUCAUGCUUUUGGAGCGGCCGAUGUCUGAUUAGCUAGUUGGUGGGGUAAUGGCCUACCAAGGCGACGAUCAGUAGUUGGUCUGAGAGGAUGGCCAGCCACACUGGGACUGAGACACGGCCCAGACUCCUACGGGAGGCAGCAGUGGGGAAUUUUGGACAAUGGGCGCAAGCCUGAUCCAGCAAUGCCGCGUGAGUGAGGAAGGCCUUCGGUUGUAAGACGUCUUUCAGUUGUAGAAGGAAAAAAUUAAGUAGACUAAUAAUACGUAAUUACAUAGACAGUAUCAACAGAAGAAGAC